AAAAACGACUCUCGGCAACGGAUAUCUUGGCUCUUGCAUCGAUGAAGAACGUAGCGAAAUGUGAUACUUGGUGUGAAUUGCAGAAUCCCGUGAACCAUCGAGUCUUUGAACGCAAGUUGCGCCCGAAGCCUUCUGGCCGAGGGCACGUCUGCCUGG
This 156-nucleotide ribosomal RNA is filed under the name Hypericum androsaemum. Its description in RNAcentral is "5.8S ribosomal RNA". It matches the Rfam family "5.8S ribosomal RNA". From Rfam's summary of the family: 5.8S ribosomal RNA (5.8S rRNA) is a component of the large subunit of the eukaryotic ribosome. It is transcribed by RNA polymerase I as part of the 45S precursor that also contains 18S and 28S rRNA. The record is from RNAcentral. Lineage: Eukaryota; Viridiplantae; Streptophyta; Magnoliopsida; Malpighiales; Hypericaceae.